UGGGGAAUAUUGGGCAAUGGGAGAAAUCCUGACCCAGCAACGCCGCGUGGAGGACGAAGGCCUUCGGGUUGUAAACUCCUGUCAGCAGGGAAAAAGACUGCAAAAGCUAAUACCUUUUGCAGUUUGAUGGUACCUGCUAAGGAAGCACCGGCUAACUACGUGCCAGCAGCCGCGGUAAUACGUAGGGUGCAAGCGUUAUUCGGAAUCACUGGGCGUAAAGGGCGCGCAGGCGGUUUUGUAAGUCUAAAG
This 249-nucleotide ribosomal RNA is filed under the name uncultured bacterium. RNAcentral describes it as "partial 16S ribosomal RNA". It matches the Rfam family "Bacterial small subunit ribosomal RNA", at positions 355 to 594 of the family's 1533-position model. The record is from RNAcentral.